GAUGAACGCUGGCGGCGUGCCUAAUACAUGCAAGUCGAGCGAACAGACGAGGAGCUUGCUCCUCUGACGUUAGCGGCGGACGGGUGAGUAACACGUGGAUAACCUACCUAUAAGACUGGGAUAACUUCGGGAAACCGGAGCUAAUACCGGAUCAUAUAUUGAACCGCAUGGUUCAAUAGUUAAAGACGGUUUUGCUGUCACUUAUAGAUGGAUCCGCGCCGCAUUAGCUAGUUGGUAAGGUAACGGCUUACCAAGGCGACGAUGCGUAGCCGACCUGAGAGGGUGAUCGGCCACACUGGAACUGAGACACGGUCCAGACUCCUACGGGAGGCAGCAGUAGGGAAUCUUCCGCAAUGGGCGAAAGCCUGACGGAGCAACGCCGCGUGAGUGAUGAAGGUCUUCGGAUCGUAAAACUCUGUUAUUAGGGAAGAACAAAUGUGUAAGUAACUAUGCACGUCUUGACGGUACCUAAUCAGAAAGCCACGGCUAACUACGUG
RNAcentral lists this ribosomal RNA (497 nucleotides) under uncultured bacterium. RNAcentral describes it as "partial 16S ribosomal RNA". It matches the Rfam family "Bacterial small subunit ribosomal RNA", at positions 28 to 507 of the family's 1533-position model. The record is from RNAcentral.